RNAcentral lists this ribosomal RNA (436 nucleotides) under Bacillus cereus. RNAcentral's name for it is "bacterial SSU rRNA". It matches the Rfam family "Bacterial small subunit ribosomal RNA", at positions 27 to 451 of the family's 1533-position model. Lineage: Bacteria; Bacillati; Bacillota; Bacilli; Caryophanales; Bacillaceae. The record is from RNAcentral.
GGAUGAACGCGGGCGGCGUGCCUAAUACAUGCAAGUCGAGCGAAUGGAUUGAGAGCUUGCUCUCAAGAAGUUAGCGGCGGACGGGUGAGUAACACGUGGGUAACCUGCCCAUAAGACUGGGAUAACUCCGGGAAACCGGGGCUAAUACCGGAUAAUAUUUUGAACUGCAUGGUUCGAAAUUGAAAGGCGGCUUCGGCUGUCACUUAUGGAUGGACCCGCGUCGCAUUAGCUAGUUGGUGAGGUAACGGCUCACCAAGGCAACGAUGCGUAGCCGACCUGAGAGGGUGAUCGGCCACACUGGGACUGAGACACGGCCCAGACUCCUACGGGAGGCAGCAGUAGGGAAUCUUCCGCAAUGGACGAAAGUCUGACGGAGCAACGCCGCGUGAGUGAUGAAGGCUUUCGGGUCGUAAAACUCUGUUGUUAGGGAAGAACA